GGUGAACGCUGGCGGCGUGCCUAACACAUGCAAGUCGAACGGAAGUAAGUGCUUCGGUAUUUACUUUAGUGGCGAACGGGUGAGUAACGCGUGAGGAACCUGCCUCAAAGAGGGGGACAACAGUUGGAAACGACUGCUAAUACCGCAUAAGCCCACAGGUCGGCAUCGACCAGAGGGAAAAGGAGCAAUCCGCUUUGAGAUGGCCUCGCGUCCGAUUAGCUGGUUGGUGAGGUAACGGCCCACCAAGGCAACGAUCGGUAGCCGGACUGAGAGGUUGAACGGCCACAUUGGGACUGAGACACGGCCCAG
Molecule: ribosomal RNA, 309 nt
Filed under: uncultured bacterium
Lineage: Bacteria
Description: bacterial SSU rRNA
Rfam family: Bacterial small subunit ribosomal RNA
Source: RNAcentral